RNAcentral lists this ribosomal RNA (706 nucleotides) under Leifsonia aquatica. RNAcentral describes it as "bacterial SSU rRNA". It matches the Rfam family "Bacterial small subunit ribosomal RNA", at positions 29 to 742 of the family's 1533-position model. The record is from RNAcentral. Lineage: Bacteria; Bacillati; Actinomycetota; Actinomycetes; Micrococcales; Microbacteriaceae.
GCGAACGCUGGCGGCGUGCUUAACACAUGCAAGUCGAACGCUGAAGCUUGGUGCUUGCACUGGGUGGAUGAGUGGCGAACGGGUGAGUAAUACGUGAGUAACCUGCCCUUGACUCUGGGAUAAGCCUGGGAAACUGGGUCUAAUACUGGAUAUGACAUGCCACUGCAUGGUGGUGUGUGGAAAGGGUUUUACUGGUUUUGGAUGGGCUCACGGCCUAUCAGCUUGUUGGUGGGGUAAUGGCCUACCAAGGCGACGACGGGUAGCCGGCCUGAGAGGGUGACCGGCCACACUGGGACUGAGACACGGCCCAGACUCCUACGGGAGGCAGCAGUGGGGAAUAUUGCACAAUGGGCGGAAGCCUGAUGCAGCGACGCCGCGUGAGGGAUGACGGCCUUCGGGUUGUUAACCUCUUUCAGCACGGAAGAAGCGAGAGUGACGGUACGUGCAGAAGAAGCGCCGGCUAACUACGUGCCAGCAGCCGCGGUAAUACGUAGGGCGCAAGCGUUGUCCGGAAUUUUUGGGCGUAAAGAGCUCGUAGGCGGUUUGUCGCGUCUGCUGUGAAAGCCCGGGGCUUAACCCCGGGUGUGCAGUGGGUACGGGCAGACUUGAGUGCAGUAGGGGAGACUGGAAUUCCUGGUGUAGCGGUGAAAUGCGCAGAUAUCAGGAGGAACACCNAUGGCGAAGGCAGGUCUCUGGGCUUUUACUG